GACGAAGCCGUGCGAACGUUAUUCGGAAUCACUGGGCUUAAAGCGCGAUGUAGGCGGGACGGCACGUCGGUCGCUGAAAGCCCCGGCUCAACCGGGGAACGGGCGCCGAUACGACCGCCCUCGAGGAACGUAGGGGGACCUGGAACUUCCGGUGGAGCGGUGAAAUGCGUUGAGAUCGGAAGGAACGCCCGUGGCGAAAGCGAGGUCCUGGACGUUUACUGACGCUGAGACGACGAAAGCCAGGGGAGCGAACGGGAUUAGA
Molecule: ribosomal RNA, 262 nt
Filed under: uncultured bacterium
Lineage: Bacteria
Description: partial 16S ribosomal RNA
Rfam family: Bacterial small subunit ribosomal RNA
Source: RNAcentral